Molecule: ribosomal RNA, 746 nt
Filed under: uncultured bacterium
Lineage: Bacteria
Description: bacterial SSU rRNA
Rfam family: Bacterial small subunit ribosomal RNA
Source: RNAcentral
ACGGACCCUUCGGGGUUAGUGGCGGACGGGUGAGUAACACGUGGGUACGUGCCUUUAGGUUCGGAAUAGCUCCUGGAAACGGGUGGUAAUGCCGAAUGUGCCCUUCGGGGGAAAGAUUUAUCGCCUUUAGAGCGGCCCGCGUCUGAUUAGCUAGUUGGUGGGGUAAUGGCCCACCAAGGCUACGAUCAGUAGCUGGUCUGAGAGGAUGACCAGCCACAUUGGGACUGAGACACGGCCCAAACUCCUACGGGAGGCAGCAGUGGGGAAUCUUGCGCAAUGGGCGAAAGCCUGACGCAGCCAUGCCGCGUGUAUGAUGAAGGUCUUAGGAUUGUAAAAUACUUUCACCGGUGAAGAUAAUGACUGUAGCCGGAGAAGAAGCCCCGGCUAACUUCGUGCCAGCAGCCGCGGUAAUACGAAGGGGGCUAGCGUUGCUCGGAAUUACUGGGCGUAAAGGGAGCGUAGGCGGACAUUUAAGUCAGAGGUGAAAUCCCGGAGCUUAACUUCGGAACUGCCUUUGAUACUGGGUGUCUUGAGUGUGAGAGAGGUAUGUGGAACUCCGAGUGUAGAGGUGAAAUUCGUAGAUAUUCGGAAGAACACCAGUGGCGAAGGCGACAUACUGGCUCAUUACUGACGCUGAGGCUCGAAAGCGUGGGGAGCAAACAGGAUUAGAUACCCUGGUAGUCCACGCCGUAAACGAUGAUUGCUAGUUGUCGGGAAGCUUGCUUCUCGGUGACGCAGCUAACGCA